RNAcentral lists this ribosomal RNA (484 nucleotides) under uncultured bacterium. RNAcentral's name for it is "partial 16S ribosomal RNA". It matches the Rfam family "Bacterial small subunit ribosomal RNA", at positions 30 to 507 of the family's 1533-position model. The record is from RNAcentral.
AUUGAACGCUGGCGGCAGGCCUAACACAUGCAAGUCGAGCGGAUGAAGGGAGCUUGCUCCUGGAUUCAGCGGCGGACGGGUGAGUAAUGCCUAGGAAUCUGCCUGGUAGUGGGGGAUAACGUCCGGAAACGGGCGCUAAUACCGCAUACGUCCUGCGGGAGCAAGUGGGGGAUCUUCGGACCUCACGCUAUCAGAUGAGCCUAGGUCGGAUUAGCUAGUUGGUGGGGUAAAGGGCUACCAAGGCGACGAUCCGUAACUGGUCUGAGAGGAUGAUCAGUCACACUGGAACUGAGACACGGUCCAGACUCCUACGGGAGGCAGCAGUGGGGAAUGUUGGACAAUGGGCGAAAGCCUGAUCCAGCCAUGCCGCGUGUGUGAAGAAGGUCUUCGGAUUGUAAAGCACUUUAAGUUGGGAGGAAGGGCAGUAAGUUAAUACCUUGCUGUUUUGACGUUACCAGCAGAAUAAGCACCGGCUAACUUCGUG